AUUGAACGCUGGCGGCAGGCUUAACACAUGCAAGUCGAGCGGGGGAAGGUAGCUUGCUACCGGACCUAGCGGCGGACGGGUGAGUAAUGCUUAGGAAUCUGCCUAUUAGUGGGGGACAACAUCUCGAAAGGGAUGCUAAUACCGCAUACGUCCUACGGGAGAAAGCAGGGGAUCUUCGGACCUUGCGCUAAUAGAUGAGCCUAAGUCGGAUUAGCUAGUUGGUGGGGUAAAGGCCUACCAAGGCGACGAUCUGUAGCGGGUCUGAGAGGAUGAUCCGCCACACUGGGACCGAGACACGGCCCAGGCUCCUACGGGAGGCAGCAGUGGGGAAUAUUGGACAAUGGGGGGAACCCUGAUCCAGCCAUGCCGCGUGUGUGAAGAAGGCCUUAUGGUUGUAAAGCACUUUAAGCGAGGAGGAGGCUACUCUAGUUAAUACCUAGGGAUAGUGGACGUUACUCGCGGAAUAAGCACCGGCUAACUCUGUGCCAGCCGCCGCCGUAA
RNAcentral lists this ribosomal RNA (501 nucleotides) under uncultured bacterium. Its description in RNAcentral is "partial 16S ribosomal RNA". It matches the Rfam family "Bacterial small subunit ribosomal RNA", at positions 30 to 523 of the family's 1533-position model. The record is from RNAcentral.